Molecule: long non-coding RNA, 1084 nt
Filed under: Canis lupus familiaris (dog)
Lineage: Eukaryota; Metazoa; Chordata; Mammalia; Carnivora; Canidae
Description: lncRNA (ENSCAFG00845027351.1)
Source: RNAcentral
UGUCCUUGUACACCUGAGGAUUUGACCAGGCCUUUUUGGCAGCGGCCUCUCCCUGCAGACCCCAGUUCAGAGGCAAACCAUAGGAGACUCUUAACUACAGAAAACAAACUGAGGAUUGCUGGAAGUGAGGGUCACCUCCUGGUCCACAAUGGCUUCUUCCCCUGUUGGCUAGCAUGUUCAUAUUCUAGACAGCAGGUAAGAGAGAAGGCCAAAGGAGAAAAGAGAUCACGAGCCAGAGAUGACCUGGAAAUCCCACCUCAAACAGACUUCCACAGAAAACUUGUUUAAAUGGGAAUAGAAAGACACUGGAAAUAUGUCUCUUAUCUGCAUGGCUAGGCCCAUCCAGUUGUGAAGUGUGGUUAUACCAACUCUGAAGACCAACUCUGAAGACUAUCCUUGGAGUAGUACUCAUUUACAUGCUUUGGGUAGUUGCUGGAUAUGAUAUGGAGGAGGAGAAGAAAGGAGCAAAAGGAAACUGACCUCCUUUCCAUAUCCUUGUGUAAAGUUUGAGGGGUCCAUUGAACUCAUUGUACGAAAAUUGUUUUAAAGUGUUAAUUAAGAAAAUAACAUCCUACUUUUUGUAAAAUCACCACCACAUAACUCUGAUCUAGGUUAUGUCUUGGUUAAGUCUCUUCUAGAUUAGAUGCAUGAGCAUGUUCAGUCAAAUUGUUAAAUAGAUGUUUUCCUCAGCAGCCUUCGAUUUCCAAAAGGGGCAGUAAGUCACUGUGAGAAAGGUUGGAGCUGCACAUCCUCAGUGAGGUGCUUUUUCUGCCAAGAACAGAAAAUUAAAAGUUGAAUAAGACCCACAGCUAAGAAAUACCAAGUUAGGUCAAAUUAGAAAAUGUGCUAAGUAACUAUGAUUCAUGUAGUUGAAUUUCAUCACUGAUCUGCAGGGGAGAGGCAGCCAAACUGUCAAAAUGAACAAAAGAAAUAGCUACUAAAUUGGCCUCAACUGGAGGGCCAGAGCUCAGACUUCUUGUUUGUAGAUACGGGAGCACACAAUUGUGAGCCUCUUCUCUUGAAAUUAAAAAAAUGAAAGUAACUCUUUUUUCUUUUCCUAUAACAAGUUAUUACUAUAAAUUUG